AGCGUAUAUUAAAGUUGUUGCAGUUAAAAAGCUCGUAGUUGAAUUUCGGGGUCAGUAGGUUGGUCGUGCCACCGGUACGUACUGGUCUCACUGAUUCCUCCUUCCUGAUGAGCUGUAAUGCCAUUAAUUUGGUGUUGCAGGGAAUCUGGACUGUUACUUUGAAAAAAUUAGAGUGUUUAAAGCAGGCUAACGCUUGAAUACAUUAGCAUGGAAUAAUGAAAUAGGACGUUCGAUCCUAUUUUGUUGGUUUCUAGGAUUGACGUAAUGAUUAAUAGGGAUAGUUGGGGGCAUUAGUAUUCAAUUGUCAGAGGUGAAAUUCUUGGAUUUAUUGAAGACUAACUACUGCGAAAGCAUUUGCCAAGGAUGUUUUCAUUAAUCAAGAACGAAAGUUAGGGGAUCGAAGACGAUCAGAUACCGUCGUAGUCUUAACCAUAAACUAUGCCGACUAGGGAUCGGAUGAUGUUAAUUUUUUAAUGACUC
This 480-nucleotide ribosomal RNA is filed under the name uncultured Glomeromycotina. Its description in RNAcentral is "SSU rRNA". It matches the Rfam family "Eukaryotic small subunit ribosomal RNA", at positions 596 to 1077 of the family's 1831-position model. Lineage: Eukaryota; Fungi; Glomeromycota. The record is from RNAcentral.